UACUCGAGUGGCGAACGGGUGAGUAACACGUGGGUGAUCUGCCCUGCACUUUGGGAUAAGCCUGGGAAACUGGGUCUAAUACCGAAUAUUUCCUUUUGGUCGCAUGGCUGGGAGGGGAAAGCUUUUGCGGUGUGGGAUGGGCCCGCGGCCUAUCAGCUUGUUGGUGAGGUUAUGGCUUACCAAGGCGACGACGGGUAGCCGGCCUGAGAGGGUGACCGGCCACACUGGGACUGAGAUACGGCCCAGACUCCUACGGGAGGCAGCAGUGGGGAAUAUUGCACAAUGGGCGCAAGCCUGAUGCAGUGACGCCGCGUGGGGGAUGACGGCCUUCGGGUUGUAAACCUCUUUCAAUAGGGACGAAGCGCAAGUGACGGUACCUAUAGAAGAAGGACCGGCCAACUACGUGCCAGCAGCCGCGGUAAUACGUAGGGUCCGAGCGUUGUCCGGAAUUACUGGGCGUAAAGAGCUCGUAGGUGGUGUGUCGCGUCGUCCGUGAAAACUCACAGCUUAACUGUGGGCGUGNGGGCGAUACGGGCAGACUUGAGUACUGCAGGGGAGACUGGAAUUCCUGGUGUAGCGGUGGAAUGCGCAGAUAUCAGGAGGAACACCCGUGGCGAAGGCGGGUCUCUNGGCAGUAACUGACGCUGAGGAGCGAAAGCGUGGGGAGCGAACAGGAUUAGAUACCCUGGUAGUCCACGCCGUAAACGGUGGGUACUAGGUGUGGGUUUCCUUCCUUGGGAUCCGUGCCGUAGCUAACGCAUUAAGUACCCCGCCUGGGGAGUACGGCCGCAAGGCUAAAACUCAAAGAAAUUGACGGGGGCCCGCACAAGCGGCGGAGCAUGUGGAUUAAUUCGAUGCAACGCGAAGAACCUUACCUGGGUUUGACAUGCAAAACGUGCAACGUACGUGGCCUA
This 914-nucleotide ribosomal RNA is filed under the name Mycolicibacterium novocastrense. RNAcentral describes it as "bacterial SSU rRNA". It matches the Rfam family "Bacterial small subunit ribosomal RNA", at positions 88 to 1019 of the family's 1533-position model. The record is from RNAcentral. Lineage: Bacteria; Bacillati; Actinomycetota; Actinomycetes; Mycobacteriales; Mycobacteriaceae.